Oncorhynchus tshawytscha (Chinook salmon) is the source of this 1444-nucleotide long non-coding RNA. RefSeq lists it as uncharacterized. NCBI's taxonomy places the organism in Eukaryota, Metazoa, Chordata, Actinopteri, Salmoniformes, Salmonidae. The transcript is spliced from 3 exons. The record is from RefSeq and is a predicted model, not a curated record.
GGGUUUGUUCUACUUUCAUUCAUCUCGUCACGCUCUCUAUGCCCAGAUAAAACACACAAUGUACUGUAAUGAUGAGGGUUACCCAGGGUUCCCCAGUGGUGGGGGGGGGGGAUUCCUUUCCUAGCUGCUAUAAAAUGCCUUCACACACUGUGUGCGCUUCAUUUGUCCUUGGUAAAAGAAAAGCCAGUAGUAUUUCAGACCUCAGGAUUUUAUUUAUCAACUGGUCAAAAUGAAGGGAUUGAUUGUCGUCGUGGUUUUGGUGACACUGAUGAUUUCAACUGAUGCGUUCCUGAUGCACAGCAGACAACGUUGCCUCUGUCUGAAAACACGGGACCGUGUGAAUUCCAGUAACAUAGUCCAAUCCACCGUUCAUCAGAGGAGUGUAAUGUGUGACCAUGUGGAGAUAGUGGUGCAGUUGAAAAUACCAUCAAAAUAUAUCUGCCUGAAUCCUGACUCUAAAAUGGGCAAGAGAAUACAGACUAAGUGGAACCUGAAGAACUGAGCUAAACAUGAUAACACAAACUAUGUGAUGAUGAUAUAACUGACUGUACUGACCAAAAAGUACAUGUAACUAUGUUGUCUUUCUCUGCAGUUUGAGGUAACUUUACUUGUUCCACUGACAAUGCAAUUAGAAAGUGUAUUUCAGAGCUACAGGGUAAUGCACAAAGCUCGUAACAACAUUCUAGGAAAUCUCUGCAAUGACAAGGCUGUAACAUCAUUCUAGAACAUCUCUGCUAUGACAAGCCUGUAACAACAUUCUAGAACAUCUCUGCUAUGACAAGCCUGUAACAUCAUUCUAGAACAUCUCUGCUAUGACAAGGCUGUAACAACAUUCUAGAACAUCUCUGCUAUGACAAGCCUGUAACAACAUUCUAGAACAUCUCUGCUAUGACAAGCCUGUAACAUCAUUCUAGAACAUCUCUGCAAUGACAAGCCUGUAACAUCAUUCUAGAACAUCUCUGCAAUGACAAGCCUGUAACAACAUUCUAGAACAUCUCUGCAAUGACAAGCCUGUAACAUCAUUCUAGAACAUCUCUGCUAUGACAAGCCUGUAACAACAUUCUAGAACAUCUCUGCUAUGACAAGCCUGUAACAUCAUUCUAGAACAUCUCUGCUAUGACAAGCCUGUAACAUAAUUCUAGAACAUCUCUGCUAUGACAAGCCUGUAACAACAUUCUAGAACAUCUCUGCUAUGACAAGCCUGUAACAUCAUUCUAGAACAUCUCUGCUAUGACAAGCCUGUAACAACAUUCUAGAACAUCUCUGCUAUGACAAGCCUGUAACAUCAUUCUAGAACAUCUCUGCUAUGACAAGCCUGUAACAUCAUUCUAGAACAUCUCUGCUAUGACAAGCCUGUAACAACAUUCUAGAACAUCUCUGCUAUGACAAGCCUGUAACAACGUUCUAAGAACAUCUCUGCUAUGACAAGCCUGUAACAUCAUUC